GAUGAACGCUGGCGGCGUGCCUAAUACAUGCAAGUCGAGCGAACAGAUGAGGAGCUUGCUCCUCUGACGUUAGCGGCGGACGGGUGAGUAACACGUGGAUAACCUACCUAUAAGACUGGGAUAACUUCGGGAAACCGGAGCUAAUACCGGAUAAUAUAUUGAACCGCAUGGUUCAAUAGUGAAAGACGGUUUUGCUGUCACAUAUAGAUGGAUCCGCGCCGCAUUAGCUAGUUGGUAAGGUAACGGCUUACCAAGGCAACGAUGCGUAGCCGACCUGAGAGGGUGAUCGGCCACACUGGAACUGAGACACGGUCCAGACUCCUACGGGAGGCAGCAGUAGGGAAUCUUCCGCAAUGGGCGAAAGCCUGACGGAGCAACGCCGCGUGAGUGAUGAAGGUCUUCGGAUCGUAAAACUCUUUUAUUAGGGAAGAACAAAUGUGUAAGUAACUAUGCACGUCUUGACGGUACCUAAUCAGAAAGCCACGGCUAACUACGUG
Molecule: ribosomal RNA, 497 nt
Filed under: uncultured bacterium
Lineage: Bacteria
Description: partial 16S ribosomal RNA
Rfam family: Bacterial small subunit ribosomal RNA
Source: RNAcentral